RNAcentral lists this ribosomal RNA (391 nucleotides) under uncultured Streptococcus sp. RNAcentral describes it as "bacterial SSU rRNA". It matches the Rfam family "Bacterial small subunit ribosomal RNA", at positions 988 to 1382 of the family's 1533-position model. Lineage: Bacteria; Bacillati; Bacillota; Bacilli; Lactobacillales; Streptococcaceae. The record is from RNAcentral.
CCCGAUGCUUAUUUCUAGAGAUAGAAAGUUACUUCGGUACAUCGGUGACAGGUGGUGCAUGGUUGUCGUCAGCUCGUGUCGUGAGAUGUUGGGUUAAGUCCCGCAACGAGCGCAACCCCUAUUGUUAGUUGCCAUCAUUCAGUUGGGCACUCUAGCGAGACUGCCGGUAAUAACCGGAGGAAGUGGGAUGACGUCAAAUCAUCAUGCCCCUUAUGACCUGGGCUACACACGUGCUACAAUGGUUGGUACAACGAGUUGCGAGUCGGUGACGGCGAGCUAAUCUCUUAAAGCCAAUCUCAGUUCGGAUUGUAGGCUGCAACUCGCCUACAUGAAGUCGGAAUCGCUAGUAAUCGCGGAUCAGCACGCCGCGGUGAAUACGUUCCCGGGCCUU